UUAAGCGACUAAGCGUACACGGUGGAUGCCUAGGCAGUCAGAGGCGAUGAAGGGCGUGCUAAUCUGCGAUAAGCGUCGGUAAGCUGAUAUGAAGCGUUACAACCGACGAUACCCGAAUGGGGAAACCCAGUGCAAUUCGUUGCACUAUUGCAUGGUGAAUACAUAGCCAUGCAAGGCGAACCGGGGGAACUGAAACAUCUAAGUACCCCGAGGAAAAGAAAUCAACCGAGAUUCCCCCAGUAGCGGCGAGCGAACGGGGAAGAGCCCAGAGUCUGAAUCAGUUUGUGUGUUAGUGGAAGCGUCUGGAAAGUCGCACGGUACAGGGUGAUAGUCCCGUACACAAAAACACACCUUCUGUGAACUCGAUGAGUAGGGCGGGACACGUGACAUCCUGUCUGAAUAUGGGGGGACCAUCCUCCAAGGCUAAAUACUCCUGACUGACCGAUAGUGAACCAGUACCGUGAGGGAAAGGCGAAAAGAACCCCGGCGAGGGGAGUGAAAUAGAACCUGAAACCGUGUACGUACAAGCAGUGGGAGCACCUUCGUGGUGUGACUGCGUACCUUUUGUAUAAUGGGUCAGCGACUUAUAUUUUGUAGCAAGGUUAACCGAAUAGGGGAGCCGUAGGGAAACCGAGUCUUAACUGGGCGUCUAGUUGCAAGGUAUAGACCCGAAACCCGGUGAUCUAGCCAUGGGCAGGUUGAAGGUUGGGUAACACUAACUGGAGGACCGAACCGACUAAUGUUGAAAAAUUAGCGGAUGACUUGUGGCUGGGGGUGAAAGGCCAAUCAAACCGGGAGAUAGCUGGUUCUCCCCGAAAGCUAUUUAGGUAGCGCCUCGUGAACUCAUCUUCGGGGGUAGAGCACUGUUUCGGCUAGGGGGUCAUCCCGACUUACCAAACCGAUGCAAACUCCGAAUACCGAAGAAUGUUAUCACGGGAGACACACGGCGGGUGCUAACGUCCGUCGUGAAGAGGGAAACAACCCAGACCGCCAGCUAAGGUCCCAAAGUCAUGGUUAAGUGGGAAACGAUGUGGGAAGGCAUAGACAGCCAGGAUGUUGGCUUAGAAGCAGCCAUCAUUUAAAGAAAGCGUAAUAGCUCACUGGUCGAGUCGGCCUGCGCGGAAGAUGUAACGGGGCUAAACCAUGCACCGAAGCUGCGGCAGCGACGCUUAGGCGUUGUUGGGUAGGGGAGCGUUCUGUAAGCCGUUGAAGGUGGCCUGUGAGGGCUGCUGGAGGUAUCAGAAGUGCGAAUGCUGACAUAAGUAACGAUAAUGCGGGUGAAAAACCCGCACGCCGGAAGACCAAGGGUUCCUGUCCAACGUUAAUCGGGGCAGGGUGAGUCGACCCCUAAGGCGAGGCUGAAAAGCGUAGUCGAUGGGAAACAGGUUAAUAUUCCUGUACUUGGUGUUACUGCGAAGGGGGGACGGAGAAGGCUAGGCUAGCCGGGCGACGGUUGUCCCGGUUUAAGCAUGUAGGCGGAGCGACUUGGUAAAUCCGGUUGCUUAUCAACGCUGAGGUGUGAUGACGAUGCACUACGGUGCAGAAGUAGUUGAUGCCAAGCUUCCAGGAAAAGCCUCUAAGCAUCAGGUAACAUUGAAUCGUACCCCAAACCGACACAGGUGGUCAGGUAGAGAAUACUCAGGCGCUUGAGAGAACUCGGGUGAAGGAACUAGGCAAAAUGGUGCCGUAACUUCGGGAGAAGGCACGCUGGCAUUAGGUAAAGAGACUUGCUCUCGGCGCCGAAGCCAGUCGCAGAUACCAGCUGGCUGCAACUGUUUAAUAAAAACACAGCACUGUGCAAACACGAAAGUGGACGUAUACGGUGUGACGCCUGCCCGGUGCUGGAAGGUUAAUUGAUGGGGUCAGCCGCAAGGCGAAGCUCUUGAUCGAAGCCCCAGUAAACGGCGGCCGUAACUAUAACGGUCCUAAGGUAGCGAAAUUCCUUGUCGGGUAAGUUCCGACCUGCACGAAUGGCGUAAUGAUGGCCAGGCUGUCUCCACCCGAGACUCAGUGAAAUUGAACUCGCUGUGAAGAUGCAGUGUACCCGCGGCAAGACGGAAAGACCCCGUGAACCUUUACUAUAGCUUGACACUGAACAUUGAGCCUUGAUGUGUAGGAUAGGUGGGAGGCAUUGAAGUGUGGACGCCAGUCUGCAUGGAGCCAACCUUGAAAUACCACCCUUUAAUGUUUGAUGUUCUAACUCGGCCCCGUGAUCCGGGGUGAGGACAGUGUCUGGUGGGUAGUUUGACUGGGGCGGUCUCCUCCCAAAGAGUAACGGAGGAGCACGAAGGUUAGCUAAUCACGGUCGGACAUCGUGAGGUUAGUGCAAAGGCAUAAGCUAGCUUGACUGCGAGAGUGACGGCUCGAGCAGGUACGAAAGUAGGUCUUAGUGAUCCGGUGGUUCUGAAUGGAAGGGCCAUCGCUCAACGGAUAAAAGGUACUCCGGGGAUAACAGGCUGAUACCGCCCAAGAGUUCAUAUCGACGGCGGUGUUUGGCACCUCGAUGUCGGCUCAUCACAUCCUGGGGCUGAAGUAGGUCCCAAGGGUAUGGCUGUUCGCCAUUUAAAGUGGUACGCGAGCUGGGUUUAGAACGUCGUGAGACAGUUCGGUCCCUAUCUGCCGUGGGCGUUGGAAGAUUGAGAGGGGCUGCUCCUAGUACGAGAGGACCGGAGUGGACGAAUCACUGGUGUUCGGGUUGUCAUGCCAAUGGCAUUGCCCGGUAGCUAAAUUCGGAAGAGAUAACCGCUGAAAGCAUCUAAGCGGGAAACUUGCCUCGAGAUGAGUCUUCCCUGGGGCUUUAAGCCCCCUGAAGGAACGUUAAAGACUAUGACGUUGAUAGGCUGGGUGUGUAAGUGCAGCGAUGCAUUGAGCUAACCAGUACUAAUGAUCCGUGAGGCUUAACCUU
This 2905-nucleotide ribosomal RNA is filed under the name Yersinia mollaretii. RNAcentral describes it as "bacterial LSU rRNA". It matches the Rfam family "Bacterial large subunit ribosomal RNA". Lineage: Bacteria; Pseudomonadati; Pseudomonadota; Gammaproteobacteria; Enterobacterales; Yersiniaceae. The record is from RNAcentral.